GGUGCCCGCGGCUGCCGCUGCAGCUCUGCCGGGACUCGCUCUCUGCCGCCGCCGCCGCUGCCGCCACCGCCGCCGCAGUUCGGGGAGGGGGAACGUCACGUGACCGCCGAGCGCUCCUUCUCGGCGCCGCUCCCCCCUCACUGCGGAGCCUGAGCCCCAGGCGCGGGAGCGGCAGGGAGGCAACCCCUGCCACGCGCCCCUAGCUAACAGUUCCAGAAUCACACAAACCUGCACAACUCGGCACCCCUUUUAUCUGGAGGACCAGCGACAGGGUCUGGAGGGAUGAAAUGCUGCUGCCAAACCUUCAGACACAAACCACCCAGAAGCAAUGAGGGUUGCAUGACAAGCCCUCGGGAGCAGCCAUACGGCAACUUUCCAGACACACACCUGGAGCAUCCUCCAGGGAGCCUGUGAGUGUGGGAACAGUGCUGGAGUUGCGAGAAGGCCCCACUUCCUCCUGCCACUCAGCGGAGAGAGCAUGUUUGACAAUGUCUACACAACAAACUUCUGAGUAUUCAACCAGGAACACACUUGACCAUAAGAGGAGCUGGUUGCCCUUGGUUACAAAGCAGGAAUGGCAAUGGCAGGAACACCCAGAUGUAAGUGUGCAGAGGCCAGUGUGCCAGCCGGCCAUGGUCCAGCACAGGCAGUGGCUUCCCUGGAGUAUGUGCCCACUUCCUGUGGCCCAGGGCCUGGCUGGCCUGGCAGCACUAGCCUAGAUCUGGAACCCAGCGGCCACAAUAGUUGCUGCUACAGGCAGAGCUGGUUUCUCAAUGACAGGCGCUGGCUGCCCGAGGGGCUGGCCAAGCCAGGACAGGAAGUGUCUUUCAUUGUGUAUGUUGGAAGGGAGGGAAGCAGAUGAGGUGCUCUAAUAGAGGCAGCUCAUUUGUUCUGAGUGCUGGCCUGGUGCAUACCUGGUCUCCUACAGGCAGGAAGAUCAGAAGUUCAGGAUUAUUACUGGCUACAAAGACAGUUUUAGGUCAGCCUGGGUUACAUUAAAACCAAUCCCCAAAAGGGAAAAAACAAAAAAAUAAAACAAAACAAAACAAAAAAACCCAAACAACUGAGCUGGGCGGUGGUGGCGCUCGCCUUUAAUACCAGCACUUGGAAAGCAGAGGCAGGCGGAUUUCUGAGUUCGAGGCCAGCCUGGUCUACAAAGUGAGUUCCAGGACAGCCAGGGCUACACAGAGAAACCCUGUCUCAAAAAAACAAAACAAAACACCCAAACAGUAUAGGCAGGAAAUGGUAGGUAGGCUGGGAAUUUGGUUACAGGUUCAAGGCUAGGCUUUGCUACCUAAUGAUGCUGUAUUAAAAAACAAAAUAGAAACAAAGGCAGGGAGUGGCGCCUCAGGACUUUAAUCCCAUUACUCAGGAGGCAGAGACAGAGGAUCUCUGAGUUGGAGGAUAGCUUAGCCCCGCAGAGACAGUUCCAGAACAGGCAGGGCCACAUAGAACCAGUCUCAAAACAAAACAAAAGCAACAGUUCCGCUCAAUCAGCCCUCCUGCAGAGGUACCUACUGGAGGAUUGAUUGACCUUGACCCUGCCUCUCUUGAACAAGACACAGCCAAGGCCCAGCCAGUGACAAGCUUGGCAGGCCUCAGUUCAGAUGGCAGGCCAUCACCAUCCUGAAAAGGACUUCGAGCUCCCACCCCUCUCCUUCCUACAACCUGGUGAGUCUCAAGACAUAACUGGCUUACCACAACUGGAUCUGAAGUGUGUCAAAGAACACACCGGAAAACCCGUCCCCUGCCUCCAAUUCUUGAAUUACUGCUUGCUUCAAUACUCCACAAAGAAAACCUCUUCAGGCCAGGAAGUACCUAGGAGGAAUCUACAGGCAGCCAGGAGCCUGUACACCCUCGCCCCUGCUGUUGCAAGCAUGUACUCUGGAUGCUCUUGGCAACCCCCAUCGAAACAAUUGAAGCUACACUUCUGGGGCAGGAACCAACCAUCAGAAAGAAGGAAAUCAAAGUCAAACCGUGUUCUGAAAACCUUUCAGCAAGAUCCUGGAGAUGAAUCGUGUGCUGCCUAGCCACUGGCUCUGGCGAUACUUGUGGGCUAAAGGGGAAGAUCUAUGAAAAAGGCUAACUGAACAUCUGUCCAGCCAUCGCUGCAGCCUGCAGGGCUCCUAGCAAAAGGUGUAUUUAAGUUCUCGGUGAAGGCUAAGCAGGAAGCUUGGUGGGGUGGUUUCUCGAUGUCUCUGGACUUUAUAAGAAUUUUCCCACCAGUACGUAUGGACACCCAAACCUCUGGAUGCUGGGGUGAAUAUCGCAGCAGGUAUACAGCGGCGAGGAAAGCCAGGCUAUAAACUGCAACUUUCCAUGCUAGCAAAGGCAAGGAUUACCAGGAAACCCACAGGGACCCUUCCUACGCACCAGCCACAGCCAUGUCGGGGCUAGGCAUUACCUCCAGGAAGAACUGCCCCCAGAGAAAUACCUGUUCAUUUAGGGGUCUGGACUUAAGGUCAACACCCUUCACACAGUGGCACUCGGGCCCACUGCCCUGUACCCUCCCUGUCUGCACCUGCACACUUGGUGCUCUGCCUGGCCAGUCUGGAACAGGAAAGACAGGAUUCUCUGCUCUGGUUCCUGAGGCCAAGCAUCAGUGAGUGAUGGUGACCAGGAUCUGGUCCGGCCUGGGACCAAAGACCAACAACUAAUAGGUGAAAGGACAAAGAACUCACUCCGGAUAAAGGUCCGUGGAAACAGAGACACAAGUGUCUUUAAUUUGGCAGAAAGGUUAACAGUGAUUCUCAAUAAUAAAGUUCAUAAAUACAGAAAAGAAGUUUUCUCUCAGGGAAUAAAGACGUCAAAUGAUAGCCUACAUGUCUGGUAGUGGCAAAAAACAUCUCAGCAUAGGAGACUCUACACAUUUGCUUGGGUUUAAAGAAUGACUAGAAAUAUACACGGGUAGAGCUGGGGAUGUGGGUCAGUAUGCAGAAUUUUCUCUAGUGUGCACGAGGCGCUGGGCCCGGGCCUCGGCACAGCACAGGAAACCUGUCACAGUGGCCACAUGCCUGCAAUCCCAGCACCUGGGAGGAGGAAGUAGGAAGAUCAGAAGUUAAGGUUAUCCUGGUUACAUAGUGAGUCCAAGGCCAGCCUGGGUUACAGGAAACCCUGCCUGGGAAAGAAAAAGGAAACAUAAAGAAGCCUGGAGAUUCAUAAUCUGGUUUAAUGUGGUUCCUGAAUGUAGCUUUAGAACCCAGCAGAAUAGCUAGCCUGUGCUGUAUACAGCCACCCCAGCUCAGAGGACAACCAAACAGCAUGGAUUAGUGAGCAGGAACAUGGCAGCUGGUAAGUCCAAAUGCAGACUCUUUGAAAUAUGUCUGCUUCAAGCUGUGAGGAAGCCGCAGCCCAGGGAUCCCAAGCUUUUCGGGAGUGGCCUUGUUCAGUGGGUGCGGGGGUCUGAGCUGAAGCUCCAGUAAGGCUCUGCAGUGGCGGGCACCGGCUGUGAGGCGGAAGCAGCACACUUCAGCUCGCUGGAACUGGGUCUGCCCCACUGUAUUUGCCUGACAGGAGUUAAUGGCUAUUACCUUGCUAACAUUUCGUAAAGGAAACAAAGGAUGCCUAUGCAACCAACCUCACAGUGCUAACUUCUGGCUUGUGCACAGCCAAUGCCAAGAGAAAGGGGGAGGAACAGCUGCUUCUUGCCACCUAGCCCCACCACCUUUCAGGGGUGCUGAGGCCCUGCCAAUGCUUUGUUACAAAGCCACAAACUCUGGGUUUCUUUCUAAGGACAGUAAAGACCAUUUGUCAAAUAUCUGGUGACUUUCAAAUGUCUUGGCCUUGGGAAAGAGUGGGCUCUUGGUGAGUGAGGCUUGGUCCCAUUUCUGUGGUGCUCGGUAAAGGACAGAUCUGAAAGCCAGGGUCCCGUGAGUCCCUGUGUCCCCAAAGGCAGGAGCUCCUUGAGAAGUCAGUCUUCCAGGAAGGUAGGUGUGCAGCUCUCCUGGCUCUGCCCCGCGCUUCUCACCAUCUCAGAACACUCUUUCUUCAUUGCAAACAUAAAUGCCAUGUUGGGAGUUCUACCCAGCAGCAGAAAGCUACCAAAAGAUGCUGCCAAUGUUGAGAUCAGCAUGUAUACAUCAUUUAAAGUUUUUCAACCAACUAGGUUUUUAAAAAAAAAAAAAAAUCUGUAUCAGCAACUGGGCCACAAACAUACCAACAAUCCACUUGAUAGAGAAAAUGCAAAUCGCUGCCCAGCCCCGUCCGUGCUCCCCUAAAACCUUUUUCUGUUCGAGCAGAUCCUGAUGCUGCUUAAACUACCGUCAACAGUGAUCCUGAGUUGGUGAGGCAGCACACCCUGUAUAGUCUUAAGGGUUUUCAAAAAGCAGUGAGGUCCGAGGAAGGCAGAACUGGAGAGCGGGAGGGCUGUCUAUGAAAACCCGUGCUAUCCUACGGAGCUCCGGUUCGGCUUUUCAAACGUUCAGGGAUACUCUCUUUGCUGCCACCGAACACUGAACAUUUCCUAUCCCUCUGAGAUGAUGGAGGAAAACUGAGACAGUCACUGGCUUGACCCUACUACUCAGCACUGACAGACAGUGAGCAGGGAGGUGGCAGGGCUGUGGCUGCCCUGCAGGCGUGGUGCUCUGAAGACACGUUCCUCGUUGGCAAGUCCUUCACGUUCAUGCUUUAUUGAAAGAUGAGUAUAGGUUAAAUAAAGGCUGGGUUAGCAGAUCUUGUCUCUAGACGGUCACUUGGAGUUUGGAGCAGGAUGCUAGCCCAUGUCCUGGGACACAGAUCCGCUAGUGAGCAGGGCAUCUGUGUGGACUGACCAGGGCUUCACUCCCUCAGUGUAAA
Mus musculus (house mouse) is the source of this 4794-nucleotide long non-coding RNA. RefSeq annotates it as predicted gene, 54263. The transcript is spliced from 2 exons. NCBI's taxonomy places the organism in Eukaryota, Metazoa, Chordata, Mammalia, Rodentia, Muridae. The record is from RefSeq and is a predicted model, not a curated record.